RNAcentral lists this transfer-messenger RNA (356 nucleotides) under Planctomycetota bacterium. It matches the Rfam family "transfer-messenger RNA". Rfam says of the family: Bacterial tmRNA, also known as 10Sa RNA or SsrA, is named for its dual tRNA and mRNA-like properties. Its role is to liberate the mRNA from a stalled ribosome. The record is from RNAcentral. Lineage: Bacteria; Pseudomonadati; Planctomycetota. RNAcentral also lists the same sequence under 1 other name.
GGGGGCGACUGGCAUCGACCGGAUGACGGAGAGCCAAGUUGCAUGUCCAGGACACCGGUUGGCCUGGUUAAAAAUCCGGUACCUUAAGUUUAAUUGGCAACUCACAGUUGCGCAUGGCUGCCUAAAUUGGCUGGCCCGUUCUCCUCGGCUUUGUCUGCGAGCUGAGACAGGACGCCAAAAAGCAGGCUGGUUGAACAGGUUGUUUGGGACUGUUUGACGAGAUUUCACCAGACUAGCCGCGUUCGGAGCCUGUCGUUCGGCGACGGACAAGGCGAAUUUCAAAUGAUCGACUAAACAUGUAGAAGCUUGCCUUGAAACAUCACGGGACGGGGGUUCGAUUCCCCCCGCCUCCAUUC